GUACCUGGUGGCGAGCGCGCUNCCNUNUUUNAUGCCUAUGAAUCUGCCUGGUAGUGGGGGAUAACGCUCGGAAACGGACGCUAAUACCGCAUACUUCCUACGGGAGAAAGCAGGGGACCUUCGNNCCUUGCGCUAUCAGAUGAGCCUAGGUCGGAUUAGCUAGUUGGUGAGGUAAUGGCUCACCAANGCGACGAUCCGUAACUGGUCUGAGAGGAUGAUCAGUCACACUGGAACUGAGACACNGUCCANACUCCUACGGGAGGCANCAGUGGGGAAUAUUGGACAAUGGGCGAAAGCCUGAUCCANCCAUGCCGCGUGUGUGAAGAAUGUCUUCGGAUUGUAAANCACUUUAAGUUGGGAGGAAGGGCAGUUACCUAAUACGUGAUUGUUUUGACGUUACCGACAGAAUAAGCACCGGCUAACUCUGUGCCAGCAGCCGCGGUAAUACAGAGGGUGCAAGCGUUAAUCGGAAUUACUGGGCGUAAAGCGCGCGUAGGUGGUUUGUUAAGUUGAAUGUGAAAUCCCCGGGCUCAACCUGGGAACUGCAUCCAAAACUGGCAAGCUAGAGUAUGGUAGAGGGUGGUGGAAUUUCCUGUGUAGCGGUGAAANGCGUAGAUAUAGGAAGGAACACCAGUGGCGAAGGNNACCACCUGGACUGAUACUGACACUGAGGUGCGAAAGCGUGGGGAGCAAACANGAUUANAUNCCCUGGUAGUCCNCGCCGUAAACGAUGUCAACUAGCCGUUGGGAGCCUUGANCUCUUAGUGGCGCAGCUANCGCAUUAANUUGACCCCCUGGGGAGUACGGCCCCAAGGUUAAAACUCAAAUGAAUUGACGGGGGCCCCCCCAAGCGGUGGAGCNUGUGGUUUAAUUCCAANCC
This 880-nucleotide ribosomal RNA is filed under the name Pseudomonas sp. B052F. RNAcentral describes it as "partial 16S ribosomal RNA". It matches the Rfam family "Bacterial small subunit ribosomal RNA", at positions 82 to 958 of the family's 1533-position model. Lineage: Bacteria; Pseudomonadati; Pseudomonadota; Gammaproteobacteria; Pseudomonadales; Pseudomonadaceae. The record is from RNAcentral.